GGAUCCUUCGGGAUUAGUGGCAGACGGGUGAGUAACGCGUGGGAAGCUACCUUGUGGUAGGGAACAACAGUUGGAAACGACUGCUAAUACCCUAUGAGCCCUAUGGGGGAAAGAUUUAUCGCCAUGAGAUGUGCCCGCGUUAGAUUAGCUAGUUGGUAAGGUAAUGGCUUACCAAGGCGACGAUCUAUAGCUGGUCUGAGAGGAUGAUCAGCCACACUGGGACUGAGACACGGCCCAGACUCCUACGGGAGGCAGCAGUGGGGAAUAUUGGACAAUGGGGGCAACCCUGAUCCAGCCAUGCCGCGUGAGUGAUGACGGCCUUAGGGUUGUAAAGCUCUUUCAGCAGUGAAGAUAAUGACAUUAACUGCAGAAGAAGCCCCGGCUAACUUCGUGCCAGCAGCCGCGGUAAUACGAAGGGGGCUAGCGUUGUUCGGAAUCACUGGGCGUAAAGCGUACGUAGGCGGACUGAUCAGUCAGGGGUGAAAUCCCGGGGCUCAACCCCGGAACUGCCUUUGAUACUGUCAGUCUUGAGAUCGAGAGAGGUGAGUGGAACUCCGAGUGUAGAGGUGAAAUUCGUAGAUAUUCGGAAGAACACCAGUGGCGAAGGCGGCUCACUGGCUCGAUACUGACGCUGAGGUAC
RNAcentral lists this ribosomal RNA (640 nucleotides) under Pseudovibrio sp. Its description in RNAcentral is "bacterial SSU rRNA". It matches the Rfam family "Bacterial small subunit ribosomal RNA", at positions 72 to 754 of the family's 1533-position model. Lineage: Bacteria; Pseudomonadati; Pseudomonadota; Alphaproteobacteria; Hyphomicrobiales; Stappiaceae. The record is from RNAcentral.